RNAcentral lists this ribosomal RNA (143 nucleotides) under Halorubrum distributum JCM 13916. Its description in RNAcentral is "Halorubrum arcis JCM 13916 partial 23S ribosomal RNA". It matches the Rfam family "Archaeal large subunit ribosomal RNA", at positions 1342 to 1483 of the family's 2987-position model. Lineage: Archaea; Methanobacteriati; Methanobacteriota; Halobacteria; Halobacteriales; Haloferacaceae. The record is from RNAcentral.
GCCCGGGCGAGAGCUCGUGUGGACCGUCCAGUAACGACAAUCCUGGUCACAGUAGCAGCGAUAGUCGGGUGAGAACCUCGACGGCCUGAAGAGCAAGGGUUCCUCGGCACUGCCGUUCAGCCGAGGGUUAGCCGGUCCUAAGG